RNAcentral lists this ribosomal RNA (497 nucleotides) under uncultured bacterium. Its description in RNAcentral is "partial 16S ribosomal RNA". It matches the Rfam family "Bacterial small subunit ribosomal RNA", at positions 28 to 507 of the family's 1533-position model. The record is from RNAcentral.
GAUGAACGCUGGCGGCGUGCCUAAUACAUGCAAGUCGAGCGAACGGACGAGAAGCUUGCUUCUUUGAUGUUAGCGGCGGACGGGUGAGUAACACGUGGAUAACCUACCUAUAAGACUGGGAUAACUUCGGGAAACCGGAGCUAAUACCGGCUAAUAUUUUGAACCGCAUGGUUCAAAAGUGAAAGACGGUCUUGCUGUCACUUAUAGAUGGAUCCGCGCUGCAUUAGCUAGUUGGUAAGGUAACGGCUUACCAAGGCAACGAUGCAUAGCCGACCUGAGAGGGUGAUCGGCCACACUGGAACUGAGACACGGUCCAGACUCCUACGGGAGGCAGCAGUAGGGAAUCUUCCGCAAUGGGCGAAAGCCUGACGGAGCAACGCCGCGUGAGUGAUGAAGGUCUUCGGAUCGUAAAACUCUGUUAUUAGGGAAGAACAUAUGUGUAAGUAACUGUGCACAUCUUGACGGUACCUAAUCAGAAAGCCACGGCUAACUACGUG